RNAcentral lists this ribosomal RNA (498 nucleotides) under uncultured bacterium. Its description in RNAcentral is "partial 16S ribosomal RNA". It matches the Rfam family "Bacterial small subunit ribosomal RNA", at positions 28 to 523 of the family's 1533-position model. The record is from RNAcentral.
GUUGAACGCUGGCGGAAUGCUUUACACAUGCAAGUCGAACGGUAACAGGCCGCAAGGUGCUGACGAGUGGCGAACGGGUGAGUAAUGUAUCGGAACGUGCCCAGUCGUGGGGGAUAACGCAGCGAAAGAUGUGCUAAUACCGCAUACGAUCGAUGGAUGAAAGCGGGGGACCGUAAGGCCUCGCGCGAUUGGAGCGGCCUAUAUCAGAUUAGGUAGCUGGUGGGGUAAAGGCUCACCAAGCCGACGAUCUGUCGCUGGUCUGAGAGGACGACCAGCCACACUGGGACUGAGACACGGCCCAGACUCCUACGGGAGGCAGCAGUGGGGAACUUUGGACAAUGGGCGCAAGCCUGAUCCAGCAAUGCCGCGUGCAGGACGAAGGCCUUCGGGUUGUAAACUGCCUUUGUACGGAGCGAAACGGCUCUCUCUAAUACAGGGGGCUAAUGACGGUACCGUAAGAAUAAGCACCGGCUAACUACGUGCCAGCCGCCGCGGUAA